RNAcentral lists this ribosomal RNA (404 nucleotides) under Actinomycetes bacterium. RNAcentral's name for it is "Actinobacteria bacterium partial 16S ribosomal RNA". It matches the Rfam family "Bacterial small subunit ribosomal RNA", at positions 355 to 776 of the family's 1533-position model. Lineage: Bacteria; Bacillati; Actinomycetota; Actinomycetes. The record is from RNAcentral.
UGGGGAAUAUUGGACAAUGGGCGCAAGCCUGAUCCAGCCAUGCCGCGUGAGUGAUGAAGGCCCUAGGGUUGUAAAGCUCUUUCACCGGUGAAGAUAAUGACGGUAACCGGAGAAGAAGCCCCGGCUAACUUCGUGCCAGCAGCCGUGGUAAUACGAAGGGGGCUAGCGUUGUUCGGAUUUACUGGGCGUAAAGCGCACGUAGGCGGACUAUUAAGUCAGGGGUGAAAUCCCGGGGCUCAACCCCGGAACUGCCUUUGAUACUGGUAGUCUUGAGUUCGGGAGAGGUAAGUGGAAUUCCGAGUGUAGAGGUGAAAUUCGUAGAUAUUCGGAGGAACACCAGUGGCGAAGGCGGCUCACUGGCUCGAUACUGACGCUGAGGUGCGAAAGCGUGGGGAGCAAACAGG